GCUGUACGGGCGGCAGGUGGGCGGUGAGAGCUGCCCGGGUUCGGGGGGGUGGUUCGUCCUCAGAGUGCUGUGGGACGGCUGCGUCCAUACGGUGAAGGAAAGGUCUGUAGAGAUACUGAGAGAUGGGAUGUGAGGGGAGAUGCGCCUGAGGGAGGGCUGGGAGCGAAGCGAGGGUGGAUUUUCCAGCGCGAUGCUUCACGUGCCUUCCAUAGGGCAGGGGGAAGUAAUUUUGAUUAUUAAUUGCUUUAUUAAUUGCUUUCUUGUUGGACAACUAGGACUGACUGCUAGAGCUUCAGCUCUCUUCCACUGUAAAAAGCUUCUCUUGCAGCUUUCUUGCUGUGCGCAUCCCUAAAUUAUUUGCACCGAAGACCAGCUUUUUGUCUUUCUGUUUUAAAUUUUUCCUUCUUCAGUGCUACUGCUAAGCUUCCCAAGCUUAAGGUGGUUUUGCUACCCUACGAUACCUUCCUUCUUCUCUGGGCAAUGGAGCUGUGAAGGAUCUGGAGCACAAGUCUUAUAGGAGGCAUGUCAGGAAGGUUCAGUGUGGAGAAGAAAAGGUUCAGGAGAGACCUCAUUGCUCUACAGAUCCCUGAAAAGAGGUUGGAGUGAGGUGGGCUCAGCAUCUGUUCCGAGGUAACAGCGAUAGGAUGAGAAGUGAUCACCUCAAGUUGCAACAGGGGAGGGUCAGGUUCUGUUAUCUUCAAAGACAGAAUAAUAGCUUUCUUCUACAGAGUACAUUCUUGCCUGCCUGUAAUGACAGGAGGUCAUCAGCAGCUCUGAAAGAUGUUGCAGUAAUUUGUAUUAAUAAGUCAUUAACUUCCAGACUUGGUUGCCCGAGUGCACAAGCCAAGAUGAUACAUCUUUCCACUUACACCUGCAAAAAUGCACAAGAGACUUAUAACUGAGACAUAGCCUGAAGAAAGUUGAUGAGGUUGUUAGUUGUCUCUGUCACAAAUGACAAGUCUAUGGAUGUUCUGGUCUUUUCUUCAGACUUAGAUGAAACCUGCAAAGGACAGAAAGUUGUUUUUGCUGAAGGAGCAACAGCUGUAAGAAGAAAAAAAAAAACAUCAAGCCAAAAAAGCUAGAGGAAGCCAGUGAGAAGAACUACAAUUGGUUAUGACUAAUCUGUUACAAGCUUAAGUUUUCUUGUACCUUAAUGGAUCUUUUAACUUUAUUUAUAGAGUCUAUUUCUUUUUAAUUUCUUUUAAAAGUUAAGACCUUUUUUCAUGAAGUACAUGAAGUAUAUGAAGCUUGAAUACUUUGGCUAAGAAAUCUAUUAGCAUCUAGAGUAACAAUACAGCAACAGCAUUUCAGAUUUUUUAUUAAAUAUACGUUAGUAAAUCACAAGCAAUAAAUCUGAAGUAUCUCACACCCCUUUGCUGUGCCCUCACUUUUCAGUGAUAGUUAAAGAACGAUGUAAAAAAAUUCCUUUUUGUUUGUCUGUUUGAGAUGGUCAAUGCAGAUAAAUCACUUAAGCUUAGGAAAACAGGUAAUUAUCUAUCAGCAAGCUCAUUCAUUUCCAGCCUGUAGGUGGAUGUAGUUUCAAACAGAAAAUGACAUUCUAAAUAUCCACAUGGACCUGUUAACUGUGGGAGAAAUGUGUAGAAUGCCCCAUGUAAAAUGAGCAUGCUACUUUUCAAUAGAAAGCUUUAUUUCAGUGUCAAAAAUGCUAUGUGCAUUCAAGUUGAAUUAUGCAUCUUGUUACUUCUCAAGAUGGUUGUGCUUCCUGAUCAACAAGGUCAAGAGUUUCAUAAGACCUUGCAUGCUUUACAUAAAGCAUACCUCAAGUGGGAAUGACACUGCAGGAAUAUUUACGUUUUCAAGGCAUUCUUUGUAUUUGAAUGACAGCUGAAUGAACCAUCACUUAAAAGAAAGAGGAAAACAAAUGAUUUUUUUGUUAAAUUAAUCAAACUGUUAAGUAUGGAAGGAACAUCUAGCAACCUAUAAUGAUCAUUGAAGUUGCAACAGUAAAUUUUGGAGGAAAAAAACUGCUGCUGUCCUGUUUUGGAGAUUACUAUGAUAGGUUACUAAGUUUUAAAAAUUUAAAAAUUUCUUCCUGCAAAUUAAUGAAGUAUUUUCUAAAAACUGAGUAGUGUUCCAUAAUGGAAUUUUGGCAAAUUGAAACGUGUUGCUGUGACAGUUCCUAUUUUAUCUGUUUUGUAUUAUAAAUAUGUCAAGGUAAGUCAUUCUUGUCAAAACAGAACAUUAUCUUUCCUUUUGGGAAAAAUUACCAGGCCUUUUCUCAAUGCUCUCAUUUUACAUAUUCAACAAAAUAAAGAUAAGGGCUAAUUCCAAAUGCUUUCAUUUACAUCUGCAUAAUCGUAAACCCACAUAAAUACAGCUUUAGUCUUACAAAUGAGUCUGAAGUAUUAUAUAGGUAUUGUUAGCUUUGCGUCUGGCUACUGCUCUGUAUAACAAGUGACUAAAAAAUAAAUGAUAUUUAACAUUGACAAAACCGUUCUUAGUGGUUUCUCAAAUAGAAGUCAAUGGCAAAGAUAGAGGUCAUUGCCAGAAAAUAAUAAUGGUUCUGGGUUUUGUUCAAUUAGAACAAUACCACGUGAAAUACCAUGUGAAGUGGAUGCAGGAAAUUGCAUCAACACCUUUCUAAAUAAGAAACAGAUGGGCUCAGAGAUACAAACCAAAAAAUAGCACAGAUUUAUCUUACAGAUAUUAUUGAUGAAAUCUUUCAUAAGGAGCUUAUUUAAUGUUUGUUCCAGUGGACCACUGUAAGUGUUAACUGAGUAAGUUUAAAUCAAGAGUAAAACAAAUGUAUAUUUCUGCAUCCAUUAAUUUACAGUGAGAUGAAGUUAACCCAGAAUUUUUAUGAGGAAAAGAAUUUACCAAACUGAGAGCUGAGUCUUCACAUUCCCAGGUAGGGAGAGAAGGAUAGUUUUUUGACAUCAAGAUAUAAGAACUAUAUGUUGGAGAAGGAGCUGUGAAAGAUAGGCGUCACUUGUGUGGGGCCAUAAGGUUGGUAAAUUACUGUUAAAGAUAUUUCUUCAAUUAAAAUUUGUAGGUUCGCCUCAGAAUGCAGAUAUCAGCUCUGUCCUAUAUACACUGAUCCUAGAUUUUAAGGCAAAGAUUUUUUGUUUGCUUGCUUUUUGUAUUGUCAGGAGAAACAAUCAACAAAGAUAAUUUGGUGUCUGCAAUUGGUUUCUGGCACAGUCUCUCAAAAUGUGAUUCAAGUAUUACAAGGGCAGCAAGGUUUUCUUGAGUUGCGUUUAUUUGAUUAAUGACAGUGUAUUAUUGCUUCUUCGAAGGUGCUAAUGAACAAGGAAAGGGAAAAGUCCCGAAUACAGGAACAAUAUGACGAGGGUGCAUAUGAAAGGAGAGACAGGAUAUAAAGUUCUGAAAAAGGAUCCAGAUGAGAGCUGAUUUAAGGCAGUCUGCUUGUAGAGUUAGUCUUCUUGUUCUUUCUAAACCAUGGAGUUUGCUCAGAUUUUCAGUAGUUGGAAAUGAAAGAGGAGGAUGCCUCAUAUGACAGUAUAUGAGCAGUUAAUAUUUUCAUGAAAAAAAUGAUUGUUAUUAAAAGAGCAGCUCUUGAUUGUUUUUAAUUUUCAAACUCUAGCUAGCUCCACUGUCCAUACGUAUGCUAACACCAAUAAUUCUUUUGCAGCUGACUUGCAAAGAACAAUAUACACUUAUUUGAUGCUUUUAUUUUAAUGCCUCAAUGUUUUUGUCUUAUUAGCAGGUUAUAAAUACUGCUGAAUAAUAAAAAGAAAAGUGAAAGUGCUUCUGAUCGAGAGCUUGUGUGUAUAAAGCCACCAAGAAAAAAAUGUGAGGGUUCUGAUUCUCUUAAAGAACAAUCAGCUCAAGGAUGUCGUGUGUUGUCACAGGCAUUUAGAUGUGUCUGUUAUUACACUGUGUGUGCUGUGCUUAGAAAAACAGUGUGCAUCAGAUGCUAUAUUAUUAUGCAUCUAUCUUUGCUGACAUGACAGCAUAUAUAUGGGUAUGUACAGGCCUUAUGUUGUGCCACGGGUGAUUCAGAUUGGGUGUUAGGAAAAAUUUCUGCUCUAUUAGAGUGGAGAUGCAUUGGUACAGGCUGCACAGGAGGGUGAUGGAAUCACUAACCCUGAGGAUA
This is a non-coding RNA of Meleagris gallopavo (turkey), 4078 nucleotides long. The record is from RefSeq and is a predicted model, not a curated record. NCBI's taxonomy places the organism in Eukaryota, Metazoa, Chordata, Aves, Galliformes, Phasianidae.